CCCCUCUCAGGGUCGCACCUGGAGAGUUUCCAGUACUCUACCAGUCUUGACUAUGAGAGGGAAAAUCAAGCAGAGGCCUACCCAUCCCAUUCCUAGCUUGGGCAGUGGCUAGCAAGUGGAAGACAUUCUGCUACAAGU
RNAcentral lists this small nucleolar RNA (138 nucleotides) under Ornithorhynchus anatinus (platypus). The record is from RNAcentral. Lineage: Eukaryota; Metazoa; Chordata; Mammalia; Monotremata; Ornithorhynchidae.